GACGAACGCUGGCGGCGUGCUUAACACAUGCAAGUCGAACGGUAAGGCCCUUCGGGGUACACGAGUGGCGAACGGGUGAGUAACACGUGGGUGAUCUGCCCUGCACUUCGGGAUAAGCCUGGGAAACUGGGUCUACUACCGGAUAGGACCACUGCCUGCAUGGGUGGUGGUGGAAAGCUUGUGCGGUGUGGGAUGGGCCCGCGGCCUAUCAGCUUGUUGGUGGGGUGAUGGCCUACCAAGGCGACGACGGGUAGCCGGCCUGAGAGGGUGACCGGCCACACUGGGACUGAGAUACGGCCCAGACUCCUACGGGAGGCAGCAGUGGGGAAUAUUGCACAAUGGGCGCAAGCCUGAUGCAGCGACGCCGCGUGAGGGAUGACGGCCUUCGGGUUGUAAACCUCUUUCAGCACCGACGAAGCGCAAGUGACGGUAGGUGCAGAAGAAGGACCGGCCAACUACGUGCCAGCCGCCGCAGUAA
Molecule: ribosomal RNA, 478 nt
Filed under: uncultured bacterium
Lineage: Bacteria
Description: partial 16S ribosomal RNA
Rfam family: Bacterial small subunit ribosomal RNA
Source: RNAcentral